RNAcentral lists this ribosomal RNA (380 nucleotides) under uncultured Serratia sp. Its description in RNAcentral is "bacterial SSU rRNA". It matches the Rfam family "Bacterial small subunit ribosomal RNA", at positions 427 to 799 of the family's 1533-position model. The record is from RNAcentral. Lineage: Bacteria; Pseudomonadati; Pseudomonadota; Gammaproteobacteria; Enterobacterales; Yersiniaceae.
AAAGCUCUUUCAGCGAGGGGGAAGGUGGUGAACUUAAUACGUUCAUCCUUGACGUUACUCGCAGAAGAAGCACCGGCUAACUCCGUGCCAGCAGCCGCGGUAAUACGGAGGGUGCAAGCGUUAAUCGGAAUUACUGGGCGUAAAGCGCACGCAGGCGGUUUGUUAAGUCAGAUGUGAAAUCCCCGGGCUCAACCUGGGAACUGCAUUUGAAACUGGCAAGCUAGAGUCUCGUAGAGGGGGGUAGAAUUCCAGGUGUAGCGGUGAAAUGCGUAGAGAUCUGGAGGAAUACCGGUGGCGAAGGCGGCCCCCUGGACGAAGACUGACGCUCAGGUGCGAAAGCGUGUGGGAGCAAACAGGAUUAGAUACCCUUGGUAGUCAAG